AGGCGGACUGGUCGUCACCAGUGAGGCUCUUCCACCACCGUGGGUCGUCGUCUGCUCUAAUGUGAGCUUGACCUUGCCUUGUUGCCCCAAUUGGUUCUCUGGUGGACAUGGAGCAGCUCAAUCAGAUCAUUGGUGAGGACUUUGUUUCGGGACGAGCAUCUCGAUGUCGGAUUUCGGGACAAGAUCGACAGAU
Molecule: long non-coding RNA, 193 nt
Organism: Zingiber officinale
Lineage: Eukaryota; Viridiplantae; Streptophyta; Magnoliopsida; Zingiberales; Zingiberaceae
Exons: 3
Source: RefSeq, a predicted model, not a curated record